UUAAUUUGACAAGAAUAUAUAGCUUGUUCUGUUUUGCCAAGUACUUCACCCACAUUCACAAGUACAAUUUGUAUGUAUGACCAAUCAUCAUGUAUGAAAAUCAUAGAAAUUGAUCGAAAGGAUGGAUCAUAAUCUUUAAGCAUAGGCACAACCAGUUGCCGCCACACAAAUGAUCUUCCAUAUACAUAUAUUCAAGCAAUAAGUUGUGCACAUAAAAAGUUCUUCUGUAAUAAGUGAUACCUGAAUAAUGUCACCAACAUUGAUAAUGAAGGCAUCAGGGAUGGGCUUGACUAGGACCCACUCCCCAUCACUCUUCCUUUUCACCUCGAGGCCUCCGACGUCGUCUUGAGACAGGAUGGUGAGCGCCCCCGAGUCCUUGUGGCGGCCUACGCCCAGAGCGAGGUGCGGCGCGGGGCACGGCGGGUAGUGGUUGAGCCGGACGAAGGUGGUGUGGUCCUUGUAGUAUUCGUCAAACCUGUUCGCGGGCAAGCCCAGGCUCUGAGCUAUCAGUCCCAUCAGCUUGUACGCGAGUUUCUCCAAUUCUUGUGCGUACUCUUCGCAUGCUUCCCUGAAUUUUAACAGCCGCAAGAGAAUCGUUUUGGAUGGGCAGGAGAUGAGAACUCCAUGAGAAAGGUUCGGGAUAGAAUAAAAUCGAUACUAUUUGCUUAAACAGAGCACAUUUCACCAUGUCAUUUAUCAUAUCAUGUGAGAUUAUCAAUUCCUAUCUAUCAUGCGCCAGCUUCAAUUGAAACACCAUGUCGCCAAAGGAACAAAAAAUCAUGGAAACACUAACCUUAAUCCAGGAGGGUACUCAGGCCACUGAUUGUUCCACUCCAUGAUAGCCUCUUCGCCGUCCUUGGGCGAGGCCGGGACGAGCGUUGGUUCUUUUACGGUAAAGUCGAAGACUUCCUUCCAGUCCCUCACGUUCUUGGUGUGCUCUGUCUCAUAGUACCCGACCACCCUCUUCUCGUCCCUCCUCACCUUCUUCUUCUCCUCCAAGCUCUGCCCGAAGAACUCCCUCGCCUCCCGCUCCAUCCUCUCCCUCUUCUCUGCCGCCACGCCAUGGUUCACCACCGCGAAGAAUCCCCACUUCUGGCAAGCCUCCCCUAUCUCCGCCACGAGCUCUUCGAAGGCAGUGGUGGAAGCAGCGACCGUGCCGUCGGAGGGUGAGUAGCCGGCGAGGGCGGCAAGGUCGAUGAGCGGGAUGCCUUCGGCUUGAAUGGCGGCGAGCUUGGGCCUAUGUUCGACGUCUGUAUGAACGCCGGAUCGACCUCUCCCAUCUCCUUUUUCUUGAUAAAGAUUAGGAGUAUGAUCUUGGGCUAAUCGUGAGUUUGUGAACCUCUUCCUUCUUCUUGGUGUUUUUUCUUUUCGUGGAUGAUAUUGAAGCAAUUAUAGAGAGGAGCAUUUGUUACAGUGACAAUGGUGGUGACUGAUGCGCGAUUGAACCUGGACGCGAUCGAGUGGACAGUUCGGAAGUAAAUGAGGAGCGACUAGGAUAGAGUCAGGACAAGGAAAAAAUCAAGAGGAGAUGGCAAGAAAGAGGACGGAGAGUUCCUGAUUCAUGACGCAAGCGCUUGCAUUGGUUAAUUGGGUAGUUUUGUUGGUGGAGUCUGCGAUAAAUAAUUGAUUCCUGAUUCCAUCGUACGUUAUUGAAAAGUACUUGACUGGUGGUUCAAUCGGUGCACAAGAUAAUUUUAAAUGAAAAUUAUCAAAUUAAGAAUAUUAAUAUUAAUAUUAUUUUUUUAAAACUUAUUACAAUUACGCCAAUUUAAUCUUAAAUCUUUUUGUUUUUGCCAUUAGAGUUUUAAACUUUUUGCAUUUUUGUUAACUCAAUCCAACUUUGGCCAGAAAUUCCUAAUAUGAAGGUUGGUCAUCUCACAUGGCACUAUUGAUACUAAACGAGGUCAAUUUUGAUAAUAGUUUUACCUUCUUUUAUUUUUUUCCUUUUAUCUUAUUUUAUCUUAUCUUAUCUUUUUAUUUUUCCCUUCUUUCUCUACCCUGGCAAUCGGUCAAAGAUGAGGCCUAGCGAGGUCAACCUCGCCAACUACUAGCAAUGGCAAGCGAGGCUAGAGGUUGGCUUCAUUGGCCCUCGCCUCUAGCCGAUUGUCAAACUAGAGGAAGAAGGGAGGAAUAAAAAAGAGAAAGAAAAGAAAAAAAAGGAAAAAUUUUAAAAUUAAAAUAUUAUUAAAAUACUAUUUAAAUUUUCAACAUUGUCGCCUAGCGUUCAUGUUAGUAAUUUUUUGUCAAAAUUAUUAGAUGCAUUGAAUCUAUGCAAAUGCAAAAGAUGUUUGACUCAAUUAGCAAAAAAGAAAAUCUUAGAACUCAAUUAACACAAUUGUAAUAUGUUUAAGACAUUUAUGGUAAUUCUUCCAAUUAGGAACAACGAAGGGUUUUGAUGCGAUUUCAAGGCAUGAUCACAAAAAUCAUUCAUGAUAUUCUCAUCUUAUAUACAAUGGUUAAUAUACUAAAAAACUCCAAAUUGGUAUACAUAUGACAAAUUUGCCUUAAAUUAUUAUUAUUUUUAUUAUGGAAAAUCCCAAAUUGGUAUAUAUUUGAAAAGUUUAUCCCAAAUAACUAUAAAAAACCCAAAACUAGUACACUUAUAAUAAAUUUAUUCCAAACUAGUUUGUUCGACAGCUAGAGACCCCAAAAUGAUACAUUUGUGACAAAUAUAUCCUUUGUUAACUUAGAUUAAUACCACAAAAACCCAUACAUAUGAAGAGUAAAAUCUCAAAUUAAUAGACUAAUCAAAUGUCACGUGUCAUACCAAUUUGAUAAUAAAAUUUAACGGAAAUUAAGAGAGGGUAAAUUUAUUACAAGUAUACAAAUUUGGGAUAAAUUUAUUAAAGAUGUAUCAGUUUGGGAUUUUUUGAGCUUUAAGUUCGGGGUAAUUUGUCACAUAUGUACUAGUUUAGGGUUUUUUGAGAUAUUAACUCUAUAUACAAUGAUGUAGGUCAACUAAUUACUGAAUUAAAUUUCCAAGUGUAAAUUGAAUCCAUCUCUAUUCAAAAUAAUUGGUUGAGUAUACAACCAAACUUUCUCAAUAUGGAAAAUUUUGUGGUGCGCUAGGCCGAUUGUGCAUGAUUGCUUUUUGCCCAAUUCUUUUUGACAAAGGAUGCAUUUAGUUUAGCAUUUUGAAAGCUCAUUGAAAAAAUAUAAAGUAGUUUAGUAUAAAAGAUUUUGAGUUAAUGCGAAUGUUGUUUGGUAAACUAUGCUUUAAGAAUCAAUUUUGAAAGAAAUAUUGUUUGGUAGAAAAUACAUUUGAAAAGUCUUUUGGAUGAUAAUAUUAGUUUUUAAUUUUUAUUUCUUUAAAAUUGAAAAAAAAAGAUAUGCAAAUUUUUAAAUAUAAUUGUUGACAAUAAUGCUAAAAAAAUCAUAUAAUUCUUGAGAAAAAAGAAGGUACGAGAUACACAAGAUACAGAUAAGUACGCUGUACACGGUAUAUGCUUGCCUUUGUUUGCUUUGCCACUCGAGGUAUCAUAUGCUAAUGAAAUCUUUCUUGAUCUCUAGACUGUCAUGUCCACGAGUAAACUAAGAUCUUGCUUCGUAAUCGAAGAGAAGCCAUUAAAAAAAUGUACGGUCUCUUUCCAUGUGUUGAUUGUGUUUAAUGGAUUUGAACAUCCGAGAGCCUGCUUGGACUCAUGCGGUUCAAGCGGCAAUUGGAGAUCAUGUAUGAUACAUGAAGGUUGCUUUGAAAUUAAAAUUGCUAUGGUCCUUUUCUUUUGGGUAGGAUUGGACGGUGGCCACCACGUUGUUGAGGCCACAACCCUUGUUCGGCAACUAAGAUAUGCCGGAAAAUGAUGUUGGCCGAGGAUUAUUACGGUGCUGUCCGGAGGGUGGCUGUAAACUGUUAUAUCUGAGGAAGAGUCGCAUUUUCAAAAAAGGAUUUUGUAGGGUGGAUGAUUAAGAGAAAUAUAGUAGAUGGAACCGUUGGAGGUCAGAGGCUCUGAUCAUGUGGCCAUGAUGUCCCAAGCCGAUACGAUUGAUGGGCAAUCCUUUGGAGAAAAGGUACAGAAUGGUUUGUUUAAAGGCCAGGUGCUGCUGCAUCAGAUGACUAGCUUCAAUUCAAGAAAGUUAUUAAGAUUUAUUUAUCCACGGAUGAUCGAUCUUUUUUCGUAGUUUGAUCAAUUUUGAUAUGGGAAUCUAUGUGCUCCAUCUGGGAACUUAAUUGGUCGGAUGUCGUAGCGAAUAUAGAAGAAUGGCUUAUUUUUCAAGAUGUACUAGACUCGGACAUACUCUUCGUGGAUGAAUGCGAAUAAUGUAAUGUGAUAUUGCUUCCAAAAAAUGAUAUGCCCUAUAUAUAUACCCUAAAUUGAUGGAGAAAAAGUUGGGAAAAGUAUAAAAAAAGUCUUAAUCUUAUUACAUUGGUAUCGGUUUAGUCUUAAAUUUUUGAAUUAAACCAAUUUAAUCCUAAACCUUUUACAUUUACACCAACUUAGUCAACCCGACUAAUUUUGGCUGAAAAUCAAUGACGUGAAUGUUGGUUGUAGUGUGUAGUUGGUGUUGAUGUGGAACUUUUUUUAAGGAUAUUUUGAAUUUUUUCAUAAUUUUUGUGGUUUUUUUCUUUUCUUUUCUUUAUAUGUCUCUGGGGUGAGGGCCGACAACCCUGGUUGAAACUGGGUAAGGUCUCAUUGGCCCUCUCGGCCAUGGUGAGGGCCCGCAAGUCCUCACCCAUUGUCGGUGAGGGUCGACUAGCAACUUUUGUUGGCCCCUUAGCUUUAAAUAAAAAAAAAAGUGAAGUGAGAAUUUUUUUUUAAAUAAAAUUUAAUAUAUUUUUGAAAAAUAUCCAUGUUAACAUCAAUUGGGUCAUAUAGGGUGACGUCAACAAUUUCCUACCAUAAUUGACUUGCCAAAUUGUUAAAAAGGCUUAAGAUUAAAUUGGCAAAUCAUCAUAAAUCAAUUAAAAACUUUAGAACUAGAUUGGCAAGUUAACGUUAAAUUGACCAUCGUAUUAUAAAUUUGGGAUUUUUUGGACAAUUUUCCCAAAAAGAUACUGUGCAAUGAAGUAUGAUUUAUUUGAGAAAAUGUCAUUUGCCUCAUCGCUGAACAAACAAAGUGGCUUGACCAACAUGUUCGCCAAUGUCAAAUCCUGCAAAAUCAAGAAAGUAUAAUGAAAAAGGAGGGAGAGCUUUGAUUGAUCUGAAACAUGUUUGAGUCUGUGUUGUUAGCCAUCCGACAAAAUUGAAACAAUGCAAUACAGAGACGAUUAGCGUGGGGUGUAAUUUCUUAUUAUGGACGUGCGGACCCCUGGAGUGCCAUAACUUUGGCCAAAGGGACACUUAAGUGCCAUAACUUAGGAAAGGUACACUUAAGUGCCACAUUUUAAGAAAAGUGGGACACCUGAGUGCCAUCUCCGGCGAAGUUGGCCGGAAAUCAUACGUGGCAUUAAAAUAUUAAUAUUUCUCGCUGAUAUGUCUCGUCGGAGAGCUGAGUCAGCUCGAAUUCGGCCAAAACGACGUUGUUUUGACAUCAUUUGAAUUUUAUAAUAAUAUAAAAAUUAUUUAAAUUAAAUUUAAAAUAAAUUUAUUUAAUUUUUUUUAAAAAAUUUAAAAAAAAUUAGAAACUUUAAAACAUUAAAAAAAUAAAAAAAUACAAAAAAUUACAAAAAAUUUACAAAUUUACAAAAAAUUUACAAAAUUUACAAAAAUUUUACAAAAUUUACAAAAAAUUUACAAAAUUUAGAAAAAAUUUAAAAAUUUAGAAAAAAUUUAAAAAUUUACAAAAAUUUAAAAAUUUGCAAAUUUUUUUAGAAAGUUACAAAAAAUUUACAAAAUUUAUAAAAAAUUUACAAAAUUUACGUAAAAUUUACAAAAUUUACAUAAAAUUUAAAAAAAAUUAAAAAAAUUCAAAAAAUUUACAAAAAUUUUUAGAAAGUUACAAAAAAUUUAAAAAAUUUACGAAAUUUACAAAAACUUAAAAAAGUUACAAAAAAUUUCAGCCCUCACCGCCUCCCUUUUCUUUUCUUUUUUAAAUUAUUUUUCUGUAACUUUUUUAAUUUUGCAAAAUUUUUUAAUUUUUUAAUUUUAAUUUUUAAAAUUUUAAAAUAAAUUUAUUUUUAUAUUAAAAUUAAUUAAUUUAUAUAUUAAUUUUUUUACCAUGUCAGCACCAAAUUAACGUCGUUUCGGGUGUUGGCCAGAUUAGAGCACUUAAAUCGGCCAAAACAAUGUUGUUUUGGUAUAAGUUGAAUUUUAAUAUAAUAGAAAAAUUAAUUAAAUUAAAUUUAAAACAAAACAAUAAUAUAAUUUAUUUUUAUUUUUAAAAAAAUGUAGGAGGAGGAGAAAGGCAGCCAACGGUUGAGGGCGGAGCCCUCGUUGCCGCCGCCUCCCCGCUGUCGCCGGAAGGUGGGGGAGGGUUGGCCGAGCCCGCCUCAUUUUCUUAAAAAAAAUUUCAAAAUUUUUUUAAAAUUUUUUAAAAUGUUUUAAAUUUUUUAAAAUGUUUUAAUUUUUUUUAAAUGUUUUAAAAUAUUUUAAAAUUUUCUAAUAUUUUUAAAAAUUUUCGAAAUUUUUUUAAAAUUUUCGAAAUUUUUUAAAAUUUUCGAAAUUUUUUUAAAAUUAUCUAAAAUUUUUGAAUUUUUGAAUUUUUUAACUUUUAAUUUCUUUUUAAUUUAUUUAAUUUUUUAAUAUUGAAUAAAUUUUUAUAGACUUUUUUAAUUUUUUAUAGAAUUUUAUAAAUUUUUAUAGAAUUUUAUAAAUUUUUAUUGAAUUUUUACAAAAUUUUUACAAAUUUUUAUAGAAUUUUUACAAAAUUUUUACAAUUUUUUUUUAAAUUUUUACAAUUUUUUUUUAAAUUUUUACAAAUUUUUUUAAAAUUUUCUAUAUUUUUAAAAAUUUUUACAAAAUUUUUAAUAUUUUUACAAAUUUUUUUUAUUUUUUUCAAAUUUUUUUAUAUUUUUUAAAUUUUUUUAAAUUUUUUAUAAUUUUUAUAAUUUUUUAUAAUUUUUAAAAAUUUAACAUUUUUUAAUAUUGUAAUAUUUUUUUAAAUAUUUAAAUAAAUUUAGUUUUAAAUUAUUUUUUAUAUUAAAUUUUUGGCCACGUCAGCAUUAAAACGACGCCGUUUCGCACUCGCUUCGCCGGAAAAUUGACACGUCAACGUUUUGGCCGGUUUUUGGCCGGAUUGGCACUCAAGUGAUCCAUUUUACUCCGAUUUUGGCACUUAAGUGUACCUUUCGUAAGUUAUGGCACUUAAGUGUUCCUUUGUGCAAAGUUAAGGCACUUGAAGCGUUCUUUUGCCUCUUAUUAUGUCUUUGGUUUUACCUCAAUUGGGCUGAGCUGAUAAACAUUCGAUGACAAGAAAUUGGGCCAGAACCGAAGGUGGUCGGUAGAACCGGUGGUGGUUUUCUCAAAGAGUUCACUUGUAAAGUACAACGGGCUAUUAAUAAGGCUUUUGGCAAUUCCCUCUUAACGUUUUCUACUAAUGAUAGGUUUAAAAUUGAACACACCUCUUGAUUGGGAGUAGAAACACUGAGCUCAAGACCUGGCAUUAAGGCGGUCACAAAAACAGCAAGGGCAAUCUUUUUGGGAAUGUCUCCAUCACUUGAGAAAGAGCUAAUCCAUCCAAGCUACGAUCGGCGAGGAUCACUCUCUCAUGAGAAGCUAGACCUUCCAUGACAUCUCUCAGGGGCUUGAAGUACUCAAAGAUCAAUUGUAGAGACUUGGCUUGUGAUGGAAGAACAAUAACAAUCCGAACAAUAUCGGAUUAAUGCAACAAAACAAUAUAAUCUCCUAUCUUAUGUAAAUCUUAUAAUACAGCAAAAUAAAUACCAAGCAUACAAACACAAUAUGAUAUUUUACGUGAAAAACUUGAGGAGAUCAAAAAACAUGGGACCGAAGUCCCCCAAAAUUUUCACUAUAAACAAAAUUGGGUGAAUAAAGUUUUUCUCUAAUAAAUACUAAAGACACAUAGCAGCAAAGAUCUCAAGAACAUCAUUCUUAACGGUACACAUAAAUUUCACAAGAGAUCAAUGAUAAAUUUAACAAAAAAUGCAAGUUUUGAUCGACCCAUGAAAACUUGAUAUAGAGAGCUUCAAACGAAAAUCAAACCGUUCAGAUUCAAGAAGAGUGUGCCAUGAACAUGCUGACAACAUUUCGGCUCAAUGGGAUGACAAAUCGACCUCCAUUGCCAACUUAAUGUAAAAUAAAUUCUUUCCAAGAUCCAAUCUUUUUUGCUUUUCUUUUUUUCUUAUUACCGCAUCUCAACGGACUUUUUUGGGCUACCACUUAAAAAAUAGUGAGAAAUCUUAUUUCUUCAUAUGACUUAUCACAUGAACUCAAGUCCUUUUGGGUUAUAAUUGAUUAGUCUUAUUCCACAUGGGAAUGAACCCAAUUAAUAGCCCGAAGCGGGUCGAUACCAGAAGACACCAGGUCAAGUGCAGUGACUUUGUGACCGGAUGAUCUUAGCAAUCUCACGAUCUUGUACCAACACCCUGCACUGAGGCGUGACCCAUGAAACAGCACAAAGUGCUUGCUUUCAAGUGAUGCUUCCUCCUGCUCGAAGCCGAAGAGGAAGAGGAUGAGGAGGGCAAGUGAUGCUAGGUUAAGGUUCUUGUCCAUAUGCCUCUUGCUUGAUGUUUUUUCUUACCCAAAACUGGGCCUCGGCUAAGGGGGAAGGCGAAGGGUUUUGUUCAGCAAAAUCGUCUGGUGUUGACUGAAGCUAGCGAAGGAUAACCUUCAUUGGUCAGCAAUUACGAAAUCAGUGGUGUUGACUGUUCUUGUGAUUCCACAUUUUCCUCUUGAAUUGCAAUUGUGCACCUACUCAAACAACAGAAAACGGGAGAAGUACCCUAUUAAUGCCAUAAGUUGUGUACGGUGCUCACUUUGGUGCCAAAAGUUUCCGUCGGAUCACUUAAGUGCUAAAUCGGAGGAAAAACAAUCACUUUGGUGCCACCGGCGAAAGAUUCCGGCCAAAAUGAUUACGUGGCUUUUUUAAAAAAAAAAAAUCGACAAGGCCUUAAACGCCGUCAUUUUCGGUCCUCCUUAAGAAAACGUCGUUUUGCCGUCCUACAUGAAUGGUCUCACAAAAACGACGCCAUUUAACUCAUUUGGGGAUUGAAAUUAGGGUUUCAUCGCUCGGCCUUCGCCGUCGCUGGGCCGCCGUCGCUUGCUCAGCCACCAUUGCUUGGCGUUGUUUGGACACCCUCAAUGGCACAUGAGGGAGCACCAGCCUCGGUCGCCGGAGCCUAGGUAUUGGAAGACGCAGGCCAUGCACUCGUCGAGGAGAUCGGAGAUGGAGAGGGAGACAUCAAAGGCGGCACACUUGUUGGCGGCCUCCCUGAGCACCGGCGAGAUCAUGGCCUUCGACUUGGUUGCUGAGUGGCUGUUGUCGGGGUUAGGGUCAAGGUUGGGGUUGGGGUUGGGGUCGGAGUUGCGGUCGCCGAGUGGCCAUCGUUGAGGUCGGAGUCGGGGUCGAAGCCAUGGCCACUGAGUGGCCAUCGUCGGGGUCAAGGUCAGGGUUAAGGUUGGAGCCACGGCCACCGAGUGGCCAUCGUUGCGGUCAGGGUCGAGGUCGGGGUCAAGGUUGGAGCUGUGGUUGCCGAGUGGCCAUCGUCGGGCUUGGGGUCGGGGUCGGAGCCGCGGUCGUCGAGCGCGAGGGCCGUUGAGGACGGCGAACGGCAUUGUUUUGGUGUUAGGGUUUUGAAUUGGGGGAGAAAUCAAAUGGCAUCGUUUUGGUGUUAGGAUGUUGAUUGUACUGUCUGGCAAGCCACAUCAGCUUAAAAAAUUAAUAAAAAAGUGCCACGUUGGAUUUCCAGCCAACCGGAUCGGAGUUGGUACUAAAGUGAGCGCCGUACACAACUUAUAGCACUGAUAGUGUACUUAUCCCAACAUAAAACGAACAACACAGGCGCUAUAUUGAAAUCGUGGUGGUCAGCUCCAUUAUUUAUUUAGGGGAAUGGAUACUAUUAAGAAUACACAGUCACAUUUAUAACAUUCUACUGCUGAAUCUCAUAUCCUGAAAUGAUAAAUUUGGAGGUUCUCAACAUCAAGUUUCUUGAAGUUGCCUCCUAUUCGGGUGACCAAGAACUUGCCCCAGCUGUAUGGCCUGUACUUUGGAGGUUUGUGCUCAUCGGUCAAUUCCUUCAGUGGCUGCACCAUGGUAUGGUGUGAUGGAUUGAAGAAGAACGGAAUUGAGAACCUCUCUUUCUUCGAGUUCACCAUCACUCUAUGCUCGACGCUCUCAUAAGUAUCGUUGCUCCAAACCUUCACAUAGUCGAGCGUUAAUUCGUCAAGAAUAUAUAGCUUAUUUUGUUCCGCCAAAUAUUUCGCCCACAUACACAAGGACAAUUCGUUUAUAUGACCAAUGAACAUGUAUGAAAUUCACAGAAAUUGAUCGAAAAAAUGAAUCAUAAUCAUUAGACACAGGCAAAAAAAAUUGCGGCACAAAUGAUCUUUGAAAUACACAUAUUCAAGCGAUAAGUAUCAUUGCUCCAAAACUUUACAUAGUCGAGAGUUUAUUCGUCAAGAAUAUAUAGCUUGUUUUGUUCCGCCAAAUACUUUGCCCACAUACACAAGGACAAUUCGUAUAUAUAACCAAUGAACAUGUAUGAAAUUCACAGAAAUUGAUCGAAAAAAAUGGAUCAUAAUCAUUAGGCACUGGCAAAACCAAUUGCGGCACAAAUGGUCUUUGAAAUACACAUUCAAGCGAUAAGUUGUGCAUAUAAAAAGUUCCUUUUUAAUAAGUGGUACCUGAAUAAUGUCACCAACAUUGAUAAUGAAGGCAUCGGGGAUGGGCUUGACUAGAACCCACUCCCCAUCACUCUUCCUUUUCACCUCGAGGCCUCCAACGUCGUCUUGAGCCAGGAUGGUGAGCGCCCCCGAGUCCUUGUGGCGGCCCACGCCCAGAGCGAGGUGCGGUGCGGGGCAUGGCGGGUAGUGGUUGAGCCGGAUGAAGCUGGUGUGGUCCUUGUAGAAUUCUUCAAACCUGUUUGCGGGCAAACCCAGGCUCUGAGCUAUCAGUCCCAUCAGCUUGUGCGCGAGUUUCUCCAAUUCUUGUGCGUACUCUUCGCAUGCCUUCCUGAAUUUUUACAGCCGCAAGUGGAUCAUUUUGGACGGGCAGGAGACGCGAGCUCCAUAAGAAAGGUUCUUGAUAGAAUAAAAUCGAUAGCUAUUUGGUCAAACAGAGCACAUUUCACCAUGUCACUUAUUAUAUGAUGUAAGAUUAUCGAUUCCUAUAGAUGAUGCGCCAGCUUCUAUUGAAACGGUAUGUCGCCGAAGCUAAAAAAAUU
This 11218-nucleotide long non-coding RNA is filed under the name Eucalyptus grandis. RNAcentral's name for it is "long non-coding RNA (EGRA_LNC005612)". Lineage: Eukaryota; Viridiplantae; Streptophyta; Magnoliopsida; Myrtales; Myrtaceae. The record is from RNAcentral.